UACGUAGGGGGCCAACGUUGUCAGGAUUUACUGGGUGUAAAGGGUGCUCAGGCGGUUGUAUAAGUCAGAAGUGAAAUCCUAGGGCUUAACUCUAGAACUGCUUUUGAUACUGCGCAGCUUGAAUGUGGAAGAGGAGGAUGGAAUUUCUGGUGUAGCAGUGAAAUGCGUAGAUAUCAGAAAGAACACCAUUGGCGAAGGCGGUCCUCUGGUCCAUUAUUGACGCUAAAGCACGAAAGCGUGGGGAGCAAACAGG
This 253-nucleotide ribosomal RNA is filed under the name uncultured bacterium. RNAcentral describes it as "partial 16S ribosomal RNA". It matches the Rfam family "Bacterial small subunit ribosomal RNA", at positions 524 to 776 of the family's 1533-position model. The record is from RNAcentral.